This 305-nucleotide ribosomal RNA is filed under the name uncultured bacterium. RNAcentral describes it as "bacterial SSU rRNA". It matches the Rfam family "Bacterial small subunit ribosomal RNA", at positions 333 to 635 of the family's 1533-position model. The record is from RNAcentral.
UUGGUCCUACGGGGGGCAGCAGUGAGGAAUAUUGGUCAAUGGUCGGGAGACUGAACCAGCCAAGCCGCGUGAGGGAUGAAGGUACAGAGUAUCGUAAACCUCUUUUGUCAGGGAACAAAGGCGGGGACGUGUCCCCGGAUGAGUGUACCUGAAGAAAAAGCAUCGCCUAACUACGUGCCAGCAGCCGCGGUAAUACGUAGGUGGCAAGCGUUAUCCGGAUUUAUUGGGCGUAAAGGGAACGCAGGCGGUCUUUUAAGUCUGAUGUGAAAGCCUUCGGCUUAACCGGGGUAGUGCAUUGGAAACUG